GUCCUUUGCCUUCUUUCUAGACAGAGGAUCGGCCAUGCGGAGUCAUUCAUUUCUUGCCAAAAUCUUCUCCUUGUGUGUUUCUGGCCAAGGUCAAGGGGGAAAGAACGGGAACAUCCUGGAAAAGAGCGCUUCUCUCAGUUCUGUAUGAUCAUGAGCUCACGAGAAUCAGGAAAGUUUUGCCAGGCUGGGUAAUUCCAGAACUGAAGGAGGAGGGGACCCAAAGAGGCCCUGGAGCUCCCUUUAUCCACUUCAUUUGCAGAAGGGUAGGGCCCUCUGCAGGUGCUCUGGCCACAUUGCAUCGUCUGUCUGCCCUGGGCCCUAGGUCAGGGCCACCUGAUCACAUGUGGGGCCUCCUGCUUCCUCGGAGGCUGGUCCCAGGCCUGACACUUGGAAGACAUUCAAAAACUGUUUGUUGGAGUUCCUGUCGUGGCGCAGUGGUUAACGAAUCUGACUAGGAACUAUGAGGUUGCGGGUUCGAUCCCUGGCCUCGCUCAGUGGGUUAAGGAUCCCACAUUGCCAUGAGGUGUGGGGUAGGUCGCAGACGCAGCCCGGAUCCUGUGUUGCUGUGGCUGUGGAGUAGGCCGGCAGCAACAGCUCCGAUUAGACCCCUAGCUUGAGAACCUUCAUAUGCCAAGGGGGUGGCCCUAAAAAGACAAAAAACAAACAAACAAACAAACAAAAAACCCCAAAACCAUUUGUUGAAUGAAUGCACAUGUGAACAAAUGACUUGUUAGCCAAGCUCACAAUUUUGCCCGCGGCAGAGCUCAAAGCAGAGGCCAGAUCUUCUCAUUCCACGUACAGCAUCCCUUCCUUAUGCACACGGCCUCGGCCGUAUUUCAUUUGAUUAAACUUGGACGUUGCUCUGGGGUGAAGAUUUAUGAGACACCAUCUUCGACUUCCUUCCUGGGGAGCAAAGGUGGCCCUUAAAAUAGGGUUAGUGAAACCCUCGUGUCUGAGACUAGCUCUGACCUAACGCAGAGCCCUGGGUUCGAGGCCCCUCCCUGCCAUUUCCAGCUGGUUACCUUGGGGCAAACCAUUUAACCUUGCUGAGGUUAAGAGAAACGGAGGGUUAGGGUUGGCUUAGGGUUUUCCACCUGCGAAGAGGGAGGGUGGUUCUGAUCUUCCCACUCCCCCAAGGGCGCCGCCAAGUCCAAGCACAGCCUUGGGUCUGCUUGUCCUUUGUAAGCACUGGUGUAGAGUCUACACAGAUGUUAAGAGCCUCAAGGGGCAGAUGCAGGAUGGGGAACUGGGGCUGAGUUGCCCUCAGCAAGGCAGCCACCGUGCUCUGGUGUGUCCUGUCCUGAAAGGCUUACGCAGCUGGCACACCCAUGACGGUUGUGUCCAGGUUGGGCAUGGUGGUGCAUUGUUGUCACUUGGGGAUGAUGGGGGACAAGGGAACUCUAUGGUGCUGGGUGGGGGUGGCCAGAGGAGGGGAGAGAGAAGGGGAGCAGACCGGCCAGAGCAUCCCUGAGGGCAGCCCGAGGGCUCCGUGCCCAUCCAGGGGUGGGGAGCCCAUGGUGGGCAUGGGGACAAAGCCGGCCUCUCCCAGGAUGCUGGACAGCGAGCAGGGGUUAGCCCCCAAGGCUUCUUCUUCUGCAGGGGGCAUCGGCUGUAUUGGUGAAAGCUGGUAAGAUGCGGCUCGUUGGCCAAGAAAUCACACGUUCAAGAAAAAGCGUAUCCAGCAAGACAUUAAACAUGGACAGUAGGUUUUUGCCUCUUUUCCAACAGCCUACAUGUUAAAAAAAAAAAAAAUAGGCCAAUUAGUCAAUAUGGUUAAAAAAAAAAAAAAAAAAAAAAAAG
RNAcentral lists this long non-coding RNA (1800 nucleotides) under Sus scrofa (pig). RNAcentral describes it as "lncRNA (ENSSSCG00030052966.1)". Lineage: Eukaryota; Metazoa; Chordata; Mammalia; Artiodactyla; Suidae. The record is from RNAcentral.